ACAGCUCAAUCACUCACCUUCCCAGCAUGGUCCACAACUAUCGCAUCGUCACAGGUACGCCACCACCUCUUCACCUUAGCCAUUUCCCUCUUUGUUGACUCGAGCUUGAGCAUCCAUGUUUGUGAUGGCCGUGGUCCUACCUCACAUUGUAGAGUGUUAAGAGUAUGUCUCAAGUUUGAGUUCAAAGCAAAAAUCUAAUUUUUUAAAAUAAAGAAAUGAAAGGAGGAAAAGGGGGAAUUAAUGGAAAUUUACUUUCCUAAUCUGCAGGGGUUGGUGGCCAAGAAAAGAAAUAAAAAUGGAAAAUAAGAAAAGAGUAAAGUUCAACUAGGACUGUCGACCGAACUACACAAUUUCCUAUUCAUGUUGAGUCGGCCACUGUACGCCCUUUACUCGAGUUUAUGUUUAUAUAUAUAUGAUUUUUUUUUUGAACAAAUGUAUAUAUAUAUAUAUGAUUGGCUUGUGGGAUUUCGCCUGCGGCUGUUGAUGUGCGGAGGGAACCUUACCAUGGGGCUCCAAGUUCCGAUAUACAUCCAAGUGAAAUUCCGCUCGUGUUUAAUAGCCUAUUAAAUCUUAUAGUAAGAUUUUUAUGAUUAUUUCUUUAAAAAAUUGUUAUGAUUAAAUACUGUGUGAGUUAUUCAGUACAAUUGGGAGUCGGGAAAAGUCGAGAUUAUUUAACUAUUUUUCCCGACUCGAGUAUAAUUGUAAUCUUUAUUAUAUCACUUGAUCUAUGAUGAAAUUUAUUGUUAUUCUUCACAUGACCGUAAAUCACUCAAGCAAACUGGCUCAUUUAUUUUCUUAUUUUAUUUAUUUUAUUGUUCCAUAAUUUAUUUCCAUGUCACAGAGCUUAGCACUAGAUAUGGUGGCCAUGGUCCCAAGGAGAGAGAGAGAGAGAGAGAUUAAGACGUUUGGGUGCGUUGGAUGGGUAGUGUAAUCUUUUUAAUUGUCGUCUUUGUCCGAAAACGUAGAUUACAGGUUAAAAACACAAGGAGUAUCUAAUAUGGUAUCAAGUUGAGAAAGGUUGAUGAAAUUUUUAAAAAUUAAUGUUUUUGAAGGGCACCGUAAUGUGAGCCUAUAGAAUCGAUCCAAUUAAAGUGAAAACCUCAUUUGGUCCAAUAGAAUUGCCUGGGAAAUAGUAUGUGAAUAACAUGUGAUCAUUCUUCAUUUCUUAUGCAUGGACAGAUACCCUUUAAGCUAAUCAUAACCUAUUUGAUCAUUCUUCAUUUCUUAUGCAUACCCCGAUUACAUCGAUAACGCUCAAUUCACCAAGAAUCCACCCCUUUGGAGCGAAAGAACAGGGAGCUCCCUCUAGGGUGAUUCCCUCAAGAUCUAUAGAUCAAAAUUAAACUAAUGGUGAAAAACCGAUUCAUGAAUCCAUCUUUCAGCUAAAAGCUCAAUUUAGCCGACUCAGUGAUGCCAUUGUAAGUAAAUCCUCUAAAGAGAAAAAAAGGUGGAAUGGGUCUUGAAGAGAAUGACCCAACUACCUAUGGAUAAAUAUACAGUUUACUUGCCGAAACAAUUCUCAGUUCAACUGGCUUGAGCAUCAAUAGAGACAACAUUAUGCACAGAUGCAAUUGAAGAAGCCGUUUCCAGCAUUUUUCUUCUUUCAGCUAAGUUGACACAACAUCUCGCCAUUCUCUUCGAAGCAUCUACUCUAAAUUAAGUUUUUGUGCUGAGAAAACAAAACUCGUAUCAUCAGAAGGGGCUUGGGAAACUCGCACCGAAAGUCAAAGUGUGAAUCAUGGCAAUAUCCUCUUAACAAUCACAUGACAACAGCAUAGGAAUGUAAUUCAGCAUAAGAAUGAACACAGCUCCUGGUCUUCCCUAGCAUAGAAAGUUAGCUGUGCAUGAUGAUGUAUGGCCAUAUAACAACAUGCAACUGGAUCCCUCAAGAUAAGACUCAUAAUUUAGUCUUCCAAUAAAAUCUCAUUUCAACGGCAAUCUGCAACAGCCGCAACAAAAAGGACUCGCCGAAGGAGCAGCAAUCAAAAGAAUACCCUAAAUAACACAGUAUCACAAAUUCGUUCUUAUUCAUAUCUUUGAACGGUAUUCAUUACCAGGUAUACCAGAGAAAACCACAGAAUGGAAGAGCAGUUGUUGUCAUUCUUCAUAUAUCAAGAAGUAACCUUCGAGGGUCCUCCACGACAUCUUUGAUACGGCGCAAGAAAAAGACAGCCUCUCUCCCAUCAAUCAGUCUAUGGUCAUAAGU
This 2206-nucleotide long non-coding RNA is filed under the name Eucalyptus grandis. Its description in RNAcentral is "long non-coding RNA (EGRA_LNC002413)". Lineage: Eukaryota; Viridiplantae; Streptophyta; Magnoliopsida; Myrtales; Myrtaceae. The record is from RNAcentral.